Molecule: long non-coding RNA, 353 nt
Organism: Hypanus sabinus (Atlantic stingray)
Lineage: Eukaryota; Metazoa; Chordata; Chondrichthyes; Myliobatiformes; Dasyatidae
Exons: 3
Source: RefSeq, a predicted model, not a curated record
AUUUCCUCCUCUCUGCAAUGUUUUGUUUGUGUUUAAAGAGAUUCCUAGAUUGAUUGGCAACAGGAAAUCGAGGCCAAGUCACACAUUUGUGGCAGACUCGUAAGAUGACAUUCGAUCCAGGAUACGGUAGCAGGCUGCCUACUUGAACUGCCACAGUCCACCUCAUGAAGAUAUUCCCACAGUAUUGUUGGAUACGGAGAUCCUGGAUAUCGACACAGUAACAGUCUAUUGAUCCAGCUCAUUUUUGCAAGCAUUGUUCAUUGUACCAGAUAAUGAAUUUCAGGCCUGAACCUACAGCAAAACCUCUUUACAAUAGAAUGUUGGAACACUCUCUGAUGGCAACAUCUUCAGCC